Long non-coding RNA from Amblyraja radiata (thorny skate), 671 nucleotides. RefSeq lists it as uncharacterized. The transcript has 2 exons. The record is from RefSeq and is a predicted model, not a curated record. NCBI's taxonomy places the organism in Eukaryota, Metazoa, Chordata, Chondrichthyes, Rajiformes, Rajidae.
UCGCCCGCCGUGUGCGUCACGAGCCCUUGCCCCGGCCCCGCCCCUCCUGUCCUCGCCCGCCGAUUGCGUCACCAGCCCCGCCCUGCCCUGGCCCCGCCCCCUCCCGUUUCCCUUCUCAUGAACAAGGAGAUCUCUUGUGAGCGCAUGCGUACUGGGGCGGGCGACAAUGGCAGAAGCUGUUGUCAAGUGGGUAGGGCGGGGGUUGUGGUCACGUCCACGGCGUCGUUCCCGUAACUGUAUAAAAACGACAACGAGAGGUUGUAGGUAUUAGUAUGUUUUUUUUCUUCUCUUUUUGAAAUGUACCAAACAAUUUUUUCAGCCAACGAAGAACUUUUUUCAAAAUGUCAAGAUGCUGCAAAUGCUCGGGUGGGUCAGUCUGUCCACACACACAGUGAUGUGAAAACUCGUGUUCAUGUUUCUGAAGAGUCUGAAGAAGAAGGAUCUCGACCCGAAACGUCGCCUAUUCCUUCUCUCCAUCGACGCACGCCUCACCCGCUGAGUUUCUCCAACAUUUUUGUCUACCAUGUUUCGAAUGAUCCUGACACUUGAAGGAAUAAACAUUAUCAAGAGCAUGAUGUCGGAGAAAUUGGAAAAGAAAGACAUGGUUUAAAUCACUUGCAAAAAUGAAGCUGGCAGCAUUGGUUGUAUUUGACCCAGUUUAAAAUAAAAUA